This 454-nucleotide ribosomal RNA is filed under the name Actinomycetales bacterium. RNAcentral's name for it is "bacterial SSU rRNA". It matches the Rfam family "Bacterial small subunit ribosomal RNA", at positions 54 to 523 of the family's 1533-position model. The record is from RNAcentral. Lineage: Bacteria; Bacillati; Actinomycetota; Actinomycetes; Actinomycetales.
CAUGCAGUCGACGGAAAGCGCUCUUCGGAGUGACUCGAGUGGCGAACGGGUGASCUWACACGUGGGUGAUCUGCCCUGCACUUUGGGAUAAGCCUGGGAAACUGGGUCUAAUACCGAAUAGGACUCCGGACUGCAUGGUCUGGGGUGGAAAGCUUUUGCGGUGUGGGAUGGGCCCGCGGCCUAUCAGCUUGUUGGUGGGGUGAUGGCCUACCAAGGCGACGACGGGUAGCCGGCCUGAGAGGGUGACCGGCCACACUGGGACUGAGAUACGGCCCAGACUCCUACGGGAGGCAGCAGUGGGGAAUAUUGCACAAUGGGCGCAAGCCUGAUGCAGCGACGCCGCGUGGGGGAUGACGGCCUUCGGGUUGUAAACCUCUUUCAGCACAGACGAAGCGUAAGUGACGGUAUGUGCAGAAGAAGCACCGGCCAACUACGUGCCAGCCGCCCGCGGUAA